RNAcentral lists this ribosomal RNA (253 nucleotides) under uncultured bacterium. Its description in RNAcentral is "partial 16S ribosomal RNA". It matches the Rfam family "Bacterial small subunit ribosomal RNA", at positions 524 to 776 of the family's 1533-position model. The record is from RNAcentral.
UACGAAGGGGGCUAGCGUUGUUCGGAAUUACUGGGCGUAAAGGGCGCGUAGGCGGCUGUGCAAGUCAGGUGUGAAAGCCCUGGGCUCAACCCAGGAUGUGCACUUGAUACUGCGCGGCUAGAGUGUCGGAGAGGAUGGUGGAAUUCCCAGUGUAGAGGUGAAAUUCGUAGAUAUCGGGAGGAACACCUGUGGCGAAAGCGGCUCACUGGACCGCAACUGACGCUGAGGCGCGAAAGCUAGGGGAGCAAACAGG